Molecule: transfer RNA, 69 nt
Filed under: Adrisa magna
Lineage: Eukaryota; Metazoa; Arthropoda; Insecta; Hemiptera; Cydnidae
Description: tRNA-Tyr
Source: RNAcentral
GAUAAGGUGGCUGAAAAUGUUAGGUAAUAAAUUGUAAAUUUAUUUAUGGUUAAAGUUAACCUCUUAUCA